RNAcentral lists this ribosomal RNA (933 nucleotides) under Salmonella enterica. Its description in RNAcentral is "partial 23S ribosomal RNA". It matches the Rfam family "Bacterial large subunit ribosomal RNA", at positions 480 to 1233 of the family's 2925-position model. The record is from RNAcentral. Lineage: Bacteria; Pseudomonadati; Pseudomonadota; Gammaproteobacteria; Enterobacterales; Enterobacteriaceae.
CUGACCGAUAGUGAACCAGUACCGUGAGGGAAAGGCGAAAAGAACCCCGGCGAGGGGAGUGAAAAAGAACCUGAAACCGUGUACGUACAAGCAGUGGGAGCCCCACCACUAAGCCAGUGGUGAACUCCACAUCCGCAUCCUUUGCUGAGGAUACGGUUAACGGAGCGAAAGCGACGUUCAACCGCAAAACAAGCAGAGGGGGCUUAGUGGUGGGGUGACUGCGUACCUUUUGUAUAAUGGGUCAGCGACUUAUAUUCUGUAGCAAGGUUAACCGAAUAGGGGAGCCGGAGGGAAACCGAGUCUUAAUUGGGCGUUAAGUUGCAGGGUAUAGACCCGAAACCCGGUGAUCUAGCCAUGGGCAGGUUGAAGGUUGGGUAACACUAACUGGAGGACCGAACCGACUAAUGUUGAAAAAUUAGCGGAUGACCUGUGGCUGGGGGUGAAAGGCCAAUCAAACCGGGAGAUAGCUGGUUCUCCCCGAAAGCUAUUUAGGUAGCGCCUCGUGAAUUCAUCUCCGGGGGUAGAGCACUGUUUCGGCUAGGGGGCCAUCCCGGCUUACCAACCCGAUGCAAACUGCGAAUACCGGAGAAUGUUAUCACGGGAGACACACGGCGGGUGCUAACGUCCGUCGUGAAGAGGGAAACAACCCAGACCGCCAGCUAAGGUCCCAAAGUCAUGGUUAAGUGGGAAACGAUGUGGGAAGGCCCAGACAGCCAGGAUGUUGGCUUAGAAGCAGCCAUCAUUUAAAGAAAGCGUAAUAGCUCACUGGUCGAGUCGGCCUGCGCGGAAGAUGUAACGGGGCUAAACCAUGCACCGAAGCUGCGGCAGCGAACGUAUCACCCAAGACAACUUUACGGAGUUGACGAUUGACGGAGCGAAGCGACGUCAAAGCGUUCAUUAAAGUCGAGUUGGCUUAGGGAUACGUUCGUUGGG